AAGUCGAACGAUGAUAGAGAGCUUGCUUUUCUUGAUUAGUGGCGCACGGGUGAGUAAUGCAUAGAUAAUGUGCCCCUUAGUUCGGGAUAGCCACUGGAAACGGUGAUUAAUACCGGAUACUCCUUCUUGUUAUAAGACAAGUCGGGAAAGUUUUUCGCUAAGGGAUCAGUCUAUGUUCCAUCAGCUUGUUGGUGAGGUAAUGGCUCACCAAGGCUAUGACGGAUAUCUGGUUUGAGAGGAUGAUCAGACACACGGGAACUGAGACACGGUCCAGACUCCUACGGGAGGCAGCAGUGAGGAAUAUUGCACAAUGGAGGAAACUCUGAUGCAGCAACGCCGCGUGGAGGAUGACGCAUUUCGGUGUGUAAACUCCUUUUAUUAGGGAAGAUAAUGACGGUACCUAAUGAAUAAGCACCGGCUAACUCCGUGCCAGCAGCCGCGGUAAUACGGAGGGUGCAAGCGUUACUCGGAAUCACUGGGCGUAAAGGGUGCGUAGGCUGGCUUUUAAGUCAGAUGUGAAAUCCAAUGGCUCAACCAUUGAACUGCAUUUGAAACUGAAAGCCUAGAGUUCAGAAGGGGCAGAUGGAAUUAGUGGUGUAGGGGUAAAAUCCGUAGAUAUCACUAGGAAUAUCAAAAGCGAAGGCGAUCUGCUGGGAUGA
This 659-nucleotide ribosomal RNA is filed under the name uncultured bacterium. RNAcentral's name for it is "bacterial SSU rRNA". It matches the Rfam family "Bacterial small subunit ribosomal RNA", at positions 59 to 737 of the family's 1533-position model. The record is from RNAcentral.